Molecule: long non-coding RNA, 619 nt
Filed under: Anas platyrhynchos platyrhynchos (common mallard)
Lineage: Eukaryota; Metazoa; Chordata; Aves; Anseriformes; Anatidae
Description: lncRNA (ENSAPLG00000018588.1)
Source: RNAcentral
AUGGGGGCCGGUGGCCGUGGUGGCCCGGCGGCAGGUGUAGGCACACGGCGGCAGCGGCACCCCGCGACCCUUCAGACCCUUCAGGUAAGGGCGGCCGGGUGGGGGGCUCCCACCACCGCCGUGGGGGCCGAGGAGGCGCCCCCGGGCCGCCGGGCGGAGGGCAGGGAGGCCGGGGGCGGCGGGGCGGGCCGGGGCGGGGCCGUGCCGCUGGCUCCCCGGGCGGCGCUGGGGCCCUGCCAGAACCAUUUUGGUUCGCGGGGUGGCGGCAGCGCAGCCCCCGACGGCCCCAGCGCGGGGCUCCCGCUGUCAAACCCGGCGCGGCAGUCCCCGAAAGGCUUAGUGAAGGGGUGUUCUGCCCGGCUAGGCGGCUGUCGAAAGUGUCUUAUUUAUUUUUAUUUUUUUAAUCUUUUCGGCCGGCUGUCGGAGCGAGGGAAGCGCCUGCGCCGGCUGGGGCUGCGGCGAGCGUCGAGGAUCGCUGGAAGAGUGAAUUUCUCCUGCCCGAGUAACGGGGAACGGGGCAAACCUGCCGCGGCUCCCAGGUGGAGGUACUGCCAACUGUGCAGCUUGUUAUUCACGCGAGGACUCCUUUAACGUGUUUAACUGGGUCCUCUCGCUCUAG